AUUUAAAUAGCUUAUUUAAAGCGAGGCUUUGAAGAGGCCCAGAAGAUUAUAAAUCUUUAAAUA
This 63-nucleotide transfer RNA is filed under the name Tropostreptus hamatus. RNAcentral describes it as "tRNA-Phe". Lineage: Eukaryota; Metazoa; Arthropoda; Diplopoda; Spirostreptida; Spirostreptidae. The record is from RNAcentral.